Molecule: non-coding RNA, 247 nt
Organism: Paramormyrops kingsleyae
Lineage: Eukaryota; Metazoa; Chordata; Actinopteri; Osteoglossiformes; Mormyridae
Source: RefSeq, a predicted model, not a curated record
GCCUGUCUACGGAGGGAGCCAUGAUGGAAAGUCAGCAGCCGGGCGAGUGUCUGCAGGAGGGGGGUAAAUCCCGUCACUAUGGCGACGGGCACAGAGGGCAGCGCUGGGGGGCAUCACCUGUGCCCAGUUGCAGGGUAGGGGAAUCGGGACGUACGACAAACCAGCAGUGCAAUGGAAGAUGAACUGAAGACGUUCAGUAAUUAUGAGUGGUAUAGAAGCAACUGUAAUAAAAUGUUUUGAAUUUGAA